Long non-coding RNA from Cercocebus atys (sooty mangabey), 2462 nucleotides. RefSeq lists it as uncharacterized. NCBI's taxonomy places the organism in Eukaryota, Metazoa, Chordata, Mammalia, Primates, Cercopithecidae. The transcript is spliced from 2 exons. The record is from RefSeq and is a predicted model, not a curated record.
AAUUAUCUCCCACAGGGUCCCUCCCACAACACAUGGGAAUUCAAGAUGAGAUUUGGGUGGGGACACAGCCAAACCCCACGAGGGCACAUACAAAGUUAGCCAUUCUUUGACAACCUGGCAGCAUGGCCAUUCAUGCAUUUUAGUCUUAGAACAGAGAUUGGAGCACCUGUUUUAGAGUGGGGUCAGGACCUCCACAAGCAGAACUGUGGGAAGUACCUCAGCAGUAGGCACUGGAAUUGCGCUCUUCCCAGUCAAAGGGUUGGGGCAGGAGGAGAGCUACUACCACUGCAGUUUCUCCUGGGCAGUAAGGCUUGCAGGCAGGGCCAGUUUGGCAACAUGAACUGAUCCUCGCAAGACACUGUUGGGUGCCUCAGCCUGUUCCCGAGAUCACAGUGCAGUGGAGUCCUCUCACUCCACCCAAGGGAGAAAUCCAGGCAUUCAGAGCACCCACUUGCCUGGGCCAGCAGCCUGAGCAGCCCCACUUUUCCUGGGCAUACAUUGUAGCACAGCAGGGCCCUCUCUGCUCCAUUCCCAGGAAGAUCUCCAAGCAUUUGGGGCACCCACUUUCCUGGACCAGCAGCCUGCACCACCUCACCCAUCAUAGACAUAGAUUGUGGUGCAGCAGAGCCCUCUCCACUCCAUAUCCAGGCAGAUCUCCAGGUAUUUGGAACACCCACUCACCUGAAUCAGUAGCCUGAACCACCCCACCCUAUCCUGGACAUAGACUGUGGUACAGCAAGACCCUCUCUGGUCCAUGCCCAGGCAGAUCUCCAGGUAUUCAGAGCACCUGCGCAUUUAGUUCAACAGCCUGAGCUGGCACCAUCCUUCCUGGAUGUAGAUCAUGGUAUGGUGAGAUCCUCUCCACUACACACCCAAGCAGAUCUGCAGACAUUCAGGGAACCAGCUUGCCUCGAUCAGCAGCUUAUGCUGCCCCACCACCUUUCCCAUGCAGAUAUCCUGGUGUAGGGGGACCCUUUCUGUUACAUGCCCAAGCAGAUCUCCAGACAUUCAAAGCACCUGCUUGUCUGGUUCAGGAGCCUGAGUAACCUCAUUCCUCUUGUGCAGAAAUCUUGGUUAAAGGGGGUCUUCUCCACUUCACAGAGGCAUAUCUCAGACAUUCAGAGAUCCCACUCACCUGAAUCAGCAGUCUGAGCCAUCCACCCUUCCUGUGCAGAGAUCCUGGGGCUGUGGGGGUUCUCCCUGUCACAUGCCCAGGCAGAUCUCCAGGCACUCAAAGCACCUGCAUGCUUGGUGAGGCAGCCUGAGUUGCCUCACUCCUCCUGUGCAGAGGCCUUGGUAUAGGUGGGUCCUCUCUGCUCCACGCCCAUGCAGACCUCCAGGCACCUGGAGCGCCAACUCUAUUAGAUUAAGAAUUUAGGCCACCCCGUUCCCCAUGCAGGGAACUUAGGGCUGAAGGGGAUUCCCAGCUCCAUGCCUAGGCAAACUUCUGGGUACCUGGUAGCUGCCCAUUGGAUUCACCCUCAGCACUGGUAUUUGUGCUUGCCAUGAGUGAACCUUUUGCAGAUUUGCCCAGUCCUUCUCACCAAUCAUGGCCCCAUCCUCCUGGAGCUAAGCAGGGAGCUCAGACCACCGCCUGAGGCAACAGAGAGUUUCUGCCAUUAAACAAGUAUAUACCCAGCAGCACUGGCUACAGCUGACUCUUAUAAGCACCAUCUACUGGCUUGUAGGUCAGAUGCACAGCCCAAUAUAAAACCUGCUGAAAGAAGUGCACAGAACUAUAGAAGCAAAACCAAAAGAAUCUACCCAGCAUUCUCUACAGUCACACCCCAACAGGGAGGAAAGAAAGGAAAAGAAAAAAACAAUUAUAGGCAAAGAAAAAAAUUCUACCCACAUGAAAAUAAUUACAAAAAUUAGAAGUGCAACCAUCUCCAGAUGAGGAGAAACCAGGGAAAGAAUUCUGGCACAAUGAAAACUCUAAAUGUAGUAAUACCACCAAAGGAUAGCAUUAGCUCUCCAGCAACAGUUCCUAACUAAAAUGUAAACUCAGAAAUGACAGAUGAAGAAUUCAAAACAUGAAUUGCAGGGAAGAUCAAUGAGAUCCAAGACAGAGUUGACAAUCAACAUAAAAGAAACUUCUAAAGCAAUUCAGAAAAUAAAAGAAGAAAUAAACAUAUUCAAAAGAAAUCAGAGCUUCUGGAACUGAAAAAUCCACUUAAGGAAUUUGAAAAUACAAUUGAAAGCUUUAGCAACAGAUGGGACCAAACAGAAAAAAAGAAUUUCAGGGCUUGAAAAAUAGUCUUUGAAUUAACCUGGUCAAACAAAAAAAAAAGAAUUUUAAAAAAUGAACAAAGUCGUUGAGAAAUACGGGAUUACAUAAAAGAAUCAAACCUAUGAAUUAUUGGCAUUCCUAAGAAGAAAAAGUAAAUAACCUGGAAAACAUAUUUGAGGGAAUAAUUCAAGAGAAUUUCCCUAACCUUGCUAGAAAAGUAAACAUCCAGAUA